UGCAAGUCGAGCGGGCGUAGCAAUACGUCAGCGGCAGACGGGUGAGUAACGCGUGGGAACAUACCUUUUGGUUCGGAACAACACAGGGAAACUUGUGCUAAUACCGGAUAAGCCCUUACGGGGAAAGAUUUAUCGCCGAAAGAUUGGCCCGCGUCUGAUUAGCUAGUUGGUGAGGUAACGGCUCACCAAGGCGACGAUCAGUAGCUGGUCUGAGAGGAUGAUCAGCCACAUUGGGACUGAGACACGGCCCAAACUCCUACGGGAGGCAGCAGUGGGGAAUAUUGGACAAUGGGCGCAAGCCUGAUCCAGCCAUGCCGCGUGAGUGAUGAAGGCCCUAGGGUUGUAAAGCUCUUUUGUGCGGGAAGAUAAUGACGGUACCGCAAGAAUAAGCCCCGGCUAACUUCGUGCCAGCAGCCGCGGUAAUACGAAGGGGGCUAGCGUUGCUCGGAAUCACUGGGCGUAAAGGGUGCGUAGGCGGGUCUUUAAGUCAGGGGUGAAAUCCUGGAGCUCAACUCCAGAACUGCCUUUGAUACUGAGGAUCUUGAGUACGGGAGAGGUGAGUGGAACUGCGAGUGUAGAGGUGAAAUUCGUAGAUAUUCGCAAGAACACCAGUGGCGAANGCGGCUCACUGGCCCGUUACUGACGCUGAGGCACGAAAG
This 659-nucleotide ribosomal RNA is filed under the name uncultured Alphaproteobacteria bacterium. RNAcentral describes it as "bacterial SSU rRNA". It matches the Rfam family "Bacterial small subunit ribosomal RNA", at positions 56 to 759 of the family's 1533-position model. The record is from RNAcentral. Lineage: Bacteria; Pseudomonadati; Pseudomonadota; Alphaproteobacteria.